Molecule: transfer RNA, 72 nt
Filed under: Loxodonta africana (African savanna elephant)
Lineage: Eukaryota; Metazoa; Chordata; Mammalia; Proboscidea; Elephantidae
Rfam family: tRNA
About the family: Transfer RNA (tRNA) molecules are approximately 80 nucleotides in length. Their secondary structure includes four short double-helical elements and three loops (D, anti-codon, and T loops).
Source: Rfam by way of RNAcentral
GCGUUGGUGGUUCAUUGGUAGAAUUCUUGGCCUUCUAUGUGGGGGAACUGGGUUUGAUUCCUGGCCAACGUG